This 530-nucleotide ribosomal RNA is filed under the name uncultured bacterium. RNAcentral describes it as "bacterial SSU rRNA". It matches the Rfam family "Bacterial small subunit ribosomal RNA", at positions 777 to 1315 of the family's 1533-position model. The record is from RNAcentral.
AAUAGAUACCCCGGUAGUCCACGCCGUAAACGAUGGAUACUAGCUGUCCGGCGCAAGCUGGGUGGCUAAGCGAAAGUGAUAAGUAUCCCACCUGGGGAGUACGUUCGCAAGAAUGAAACUCAAAGGAAUUGACGGGGGCCCGCACAAGCGGUGGAGCAUGUGGUUUAAUUCGAUGAUACGCGAGGAACCUUACCAGGGCUUAAAUGUAGUGGGACAGGUCCAGAGAUGGGCCCUUCUUCGGACUCAUUACAAGGUGCUGCAUGGUUGUCGUCAGCUCGUGCCGUGAGGUGUCAGGUUAAGUCCCAUAACGAGCGCAACCCCUGUCGUUAGUUGCCAGCGAGUGAAGUCGGGAACUCUAACGAGACUGCCGGUGCAAACCGUGAGGAAGUGGGGAUGACGUCAAAUCAUCACGGCCCUUACGUCCUGGGCUACACACGUGCUACGAAUGGCCGGUACAGAGAGCAGCCACGCCGCAAGGCGGAGCGAAUCUACAAAACCGGGUCACAGUUCGGAUCGGGGUCUGCAACUGA